AUUGAACGCUGGCGGCGUGCUUAACACAUGCAAGUCGAUCGGUAACAGGUGUAGCAAUACAUGCUGACGAGAGGCGGACGGGUGAGGAAUAUUUGGGAAUCUGCCCAUCAGCGGGGGACAACCCGGGGAAACCCGGGCUAAUACCGCAUACGCUCUACGGAGGAAAGCCGGGGACCGCAAGGCCUGGCACUGAUGGAUGAGCCCAAAUCGGAUUAGCUAGUUGGCGGGGUAACGGCCCACCAAGGCGACGAUCCGUAGCUGGUCUGAGAGGACGAUCACCCACACCGGAACUGAGACACGGUCCGGACUCCUACGGGAGGCAGCAGUGGGGAAUAUUGGACAAUGGGGGAAACCCUGAUCCAGCGACGCCGCGUGGGUGAAGAAGGCCUGCGGGUUGUAAAGCCCUUUCGGUAGGGUCGAAAGCUCUUGCUCUAAUAAUGCAAGAGGUUGACUUAACCUACAUAAGAAGCACCGGCUAACUCUGUGCCAGCAGCCGCCGUAA
This 502-nucleotide ribosomal RNA is filed under the name uncultured bacterium. Its description in RNAcentral is "partial 16S ribosomal RNA". It matches the Rfam family "Bacterial small subunit ribosomal RNA", at positions 29 to 523 of the family's 1533-position model. The record is from RNAcentral.